UGCCUUAGUAACGGCGAGUGAAGCGGCAACAGCUCAAAUUUGAAAGCUGGCCCUUUCAGGGUCCGCAUUGUAAUUUGUAGAGGAUGAUUCGGCGAGGGCUCCCGCCUAAGUCCCCUGGAACGGGGCGUCAUAGAGGGUGAGAAUCCCGUAUGCGGUGGGCUGCCUUAGCCAUGUGAAUCUCCUUCGACGAGUCGAGUUGUUUGGGAAUGCAGCUCUAAAUGGGAGGUAAAUUUCUUCUAAAGCUAAAUACCGGCCAGAGACCGAUAGCGCACAAGUAGAGUGAUCGAAAGAUGAAAAGCACUUUGGAAAGAGAGUUAAAAAGUACGUGAAAUUGUUGAAAGGGAAGCGCUUGCAACCAGACUUGUCCGCAGUUGCUCAGCCGGUCUCCUGACCGGCGUACUCUUCUGCGGCCAGGCCAGCAUCAGUUCGGGCGGUCGGAUAAAGACCUCGGGAAUGUAGCUCCUCUCGGGGAGUGUUAUAGCCCGGGGUGGAAUGCGGCCAGCCUGGACUGAGGAUCUCGCUUCGGCAAGGAUGCUGGCGUAAUGGUUGUAAGCGGCCCGUCUUGAAACACGGACCAAGGAGUCUAACAUCUAUGCGAGUGUUUGGGUGUCAAACCCAUACGCGUAAUGAAAGUGAACGGAGGUGGGAACCCGCAAGGGUGCACCAUCGGCCGAUCCUGAUGUCUUCGGAUGGAUUUGAGCAAGAGCAUAGCUGUUGGGACCCGAAAGAUGGUGAACUAUGCCUGAAUAGGGUGAAGCCAGAGGAAACUCUGGUGGAGGCUCGCAGCGGUUCUGACGUGCAAAUC
This 805-nucleotide ribosomal RNA is filed under the name Diplodia seriata. RNAcentral describes it as "eukaryotic LSU rRNA". It matches the Rfam family "Eukaryotic large subunit ribosomal RNA", at positions 76 to 899 of the family's 3401-position model. Lineage: Eukaryota; Fungi; Ascomycota; Dothideomycetes; Botryosphaeriales; Botryosphaeriaceae. The record is from RNAcentral.